This 336-nucleotide unclassified non-coding RNA is filed under the name soil metagenome. RNAcentral's name for it is "partial contains 5.8S ribosomal RNA, internal transcribed spacer 2, and large subunit ribosomal RNA". The stretch from base 1 to 120 matches the Rfam family "5.8S ribosomal RNA", at positions 35 to 154 of the family's 154-position model. The record is from RNAcentral.
GAUGAAGAACGCAGCGAAAUGCGAUAAGUAAUGUGAAUUGCAGAAUUCAGUGAAUCAUCGAAUCUUUGAACGCACAUUGCGCCCGCCAGUAUUCUGGCGGGCAUGCCUGUUCGAGCGUCAUUUCAACCAUCAAGCCCCAGGCUUGUGUUGGGGACCUGCGGCUGCCGCAGGCCCUGAAAACCAGUGGCGGGCUCGCUGUCACACCGGGCGUAGUAGAUUUUAUCUCGCUCAGGGCGUGCUGCGGGUUCCGGCCGUUAAAAAGCCUUUUUUACCCAAGGUUGACCUCGAAUCAGGUAGGAAGACCCGCUGAACUUAAGCAUAUCAAUAAGCGGAGGA